UACCAGGAAGUCAAACAAGAGAACCCGCUAAAUUUAA
This 37-nucleotide ribosomal RNA is filed under the name Symbiodinium sp. clade D. RNAcentral's name for it is "Durusdinium sp. clade D partial 28S ribosomal RNA". Lineage: Eukaryota; Dinophyceae; Suessiales; Symbiodiniaceae. The record is from RNAcentral.